Molecule: non-coding RNA, 76 nt
Organism: Pelobates cultripes (western spadefoot toad)
Lineage: Eukaryota; Metazoa; Chordata; Amphibia; Anura; Pelobatidae
Source: the annotation of a GenBank genome assembly
AUCGACGUUUCAGUCCUAUUCAAGGACUUUCAUCAUGAUCCUGAUGAUAGUCCUUGAAUAGGACUGAAACGUCGAU